AUUGAACGCUGGCGGCAUGCUUUACACAUGCAAGUCGAACGGCAGCGCGGGCUUCGGCCUGGCGGCGAGUGGCGAACGGGUGAGUAAUACAUCGGAACGUGCCCAGUAGUGGGGGAUAGCUCGGCGAAAGCCGGAUUAAUACCGCAUACGACCUGAGGGUGAAAGCGGGGGAUCUUCGGACCUCGCGCUAUUGGAGCGGCCGAUGGCAGAUUAGCUAGUUGGUGGGGUAAAGGCCUACCAAGGCGACGAUCUGUAGCUGGUCUGAGAGGACGACCAGCCACACUGGGACUGAGGCACGGCCCAGACUCCUACGGGAGGCAGCAGUGGGGAAUUUUGGACAAUGGGCGAAAGCCUGAUCCAGCAAUGCCGCGUGUGUGAUGAAGGCCUUCGGGUUGUAAAGCACUUUUGGCGGGAACGAAAAGGACUGUGCCAAUACCACGGUUCGAUGACGGUACCCGCAGAAUAAGCACCGGCUAACUACGUG
RNAcentral lists this ribosomal RNA (484 nucleotides) under uncultured bacterium. Its description in RNAcentral is "partial 16S ribosomal RNA". It matches the Rfam family "Bacterial small subunit ribosomal RNA", at positions 29 to 507 of the family's 1533-position model. The record is from RNAcentral.